UACGUAGGUGGCAAGCGUUGUCCGGAUUUACUGGGCGUAAAGCGUGUGUAGGCGGACCUUUAAGUAGAAAGUGAAAGGUUGGAGCUCAACUCCAACACUGCUUCCUAUACUGGAGGUCUUGAGUGCCGGAGAGGAAGAUGGAACUGCACGUGUAGCGGUGAAAUGCGUUGAUAUGUGCAGGAACACCAAUGGCGAAGGCAAUCUUCUGGACGGAUACUGACGCUGAGACACGAAAGCCAAGGUAGCAAACAGG
RNAcentral lists this ribosomal RNA (253 nucleotides) under uncultured bacterium. Its description in RNAcentral is "partial 16S ribosomal RNA". It matches the Rfam family "Bacterial small subunit ribosomal RNA", at positions 524 to 776 of the family's 1533-position model. The record is from RNAcentral.